GAUGAACGCUGGCGGCGUGCCUAAUACAUGCAAGUCGAGCGAACAGAUGAGGAGCUUGCUCCUCUGACGUUAGCGGCGGACGGGUGAGUAACACGUGGAUAACCUACCUAUAAGACUGGGAUAACUUCGGGAAACCGGAGCUAAUACCGGAUAAUAUAUUGAACCGCAUGGUUCAAUAGUGAAAGACGGUUUUGCUGUCACUUAUAGAUGGAUCCGCGCCGCAUUAGCUAGUUGGUAAGGUAACGGCUUACCAAGGCGACGACGCGUAGCCGACCUGAGAGGGUGAUCGGCCACACUGGAACUGAGACACGGUCCAGACUCCUACGGGAGGCAGCAGUAGGGAAUCUUCCGCAAUGGGCGAAAGCUUGACGGAGCAACGCCGCGUGAGUGAUGAAGGUCUUCGGAUCGUAAAACUCUGUUAUUAGGGAAGAACAAAUGUGUAAGUAACUAUGCACGUCUUGACGGUACCUAAUCAGAAAGCCACGGCUAACUACGUG
RNAcentral lists this ribosomal RNA (497 nucleotides) under uncultured bacterium. RNAcentral's name for it is "partial 16S ribosomal RNA". It matches the Rfam family "Bacterial small subunit ribosomal RNA", at positions 28 to 507 of the family's 1533-position model. The record is from RNAcentral.